GUUGCAGGUGUGAACACCGGGAGGGCUUUUCCAGCAUCGCAGCUCACCUGGCGUCACAAGGGUCAUCAAAGAGCAAAGCCUAAGGCAGGAGUACAAAAAGCUUCCCAGCAUCCCUCAAUCGUCAACGAUGGUGCAGGUGUGAGCACAGGGAGGGCUUUUCCAGCUCCUCACGUGGGUCCCGAACCACAGCUCACCUGGCAUCGCAAGGGUCCACAAGAAACAAAGCCUAAGGUAUUAAGACGAAAGUCUUCCCAGCAUAAAUCAGUCCUCAACCAAGUCCUGGAGGAACUGGACAAAGUAGAGCAUGGUGGGUAUAUAUCGCUCUAGAGCAGAAGACUUGGGAAGUGGAGGUUUAGAUACACAUGCUCUUCAGAAGGGCGCUUUCCCUGACUGAACUGACACCCUCAAAUGCUCUGGCUUUGUU
Columba livia (rock pigeon) is the source of this 424-nucleotide long non-coding RNA. RefSeq lists it as uncharacterized. NCBI's taxonomy places the organism in Eukaryota, Metazoa, Chordata, Aves, Columbiformes, Columbidae. The transcript has 4 exons. The record is from RefSeq and is a predicted model, not a curated record.